This is an RNA transcript of Epinephelus moara (kelp grouper), 8442 nucleotides long. It is a transcript of the gene named ArfGAP with GTPase domain, ankyrin repeat and PH domain 3, with no coding region annotated. Lineage: Eukaryota; Metazoa; Chordata; Actinopteri; Perciformes; Serranidae. The transcript is spliced from 19 exons. The record is from RefSeq and is a predicted model, not a curated record.
UGCACCGCCAACAACAAGGACUGCUCACAGUUCGUAACUUGCCAAAGAGGAAGGGUGAUCUGUUUUUUUUUUGUUUUGUUUUUGUUUUGUUUUUUUAAAGUUGCAACCUUUGCAGCUAUUACAGAUUUGACUUUGUUGCAAAACAAUCAGUGGAUAACCAGUUUUUCUUUUGUUCAUCUGCCUGUGCAAGACAGGUAGAACAAAGUGUGGAGGGAAAGCAGCUACCAUCUGAAUGCCUGUGUGAGUCUGUGUGAGUAAAGCAGCCAGAGGAUGCAGGUGGCAGCGAGGCUUUGCUCUAACUUGUUUGAAGUUUUUUUCCCAUGUCAAAGGUGAAGGAUUAUGCCUGGCAUAGGAAUUUAGUCUUCAAAUGCAGGACUUUAUGAGCUGAAUCUCAACAACUCCUGGGCAGAAUGUGAACAUUUACUCAUGCUACACGCUUGUGAAUGAGGAUGUAUGUGUGAAUCAAUUUGAGUGAAGUGCCAUGCUAUUCCUUAGCAGUGGGACCGUGGAUGCGACCCCAAGGAGUACAGCUAUUGGCCAACAGCAGCAGGGGAAAACCGUUUACCACAUCUCUGUAAUCCUGAACGAAACACAGGGAGAUGCGCUGGUGUCAGGGCUGGGAAUGGGCCGGGUCACCCACACCCUGGUGGAGAAUUGCCAGCCAGGAGGAGAGAUAAUUAAAGUUGUGCCAAUGGAGAACAGCCCCAGGCUGGGCAGGGCACGGCAGGAGUUUGACAGGUGGCCCUCCCUGAGCCGCUCAGGUAGAGCUGGGAUACAAAGAGAGGAGGUAGUUGUGGAGGAGAAUGAGGAGGAGUUGGAGGAGGUGGAGGGAAAAAUGAAGACCGACAGGUUUUUGAAACAACCCUUCAAGAACUCCAAUACUUCCUCACAGAAAGACAGAGACGUGGCAGAGGCAGCCGCUCAGACAGACACCCAGGAGCAACACAUUCAGAGCGCAACAUUACGAUCUGUCACCGUCCACGCUAAAGGGCUCGUCUUUGGGGACCAUGGCCCAGUCACAGGACAUAGCUCUCUGCCUCGGGCUGUGUUGCGAAGGUCGCGUCAGGAUGAAGCCCCGCUGGGUAGAAGAACGGUGAGCAUGUAUGGCGACUCAGUCAAGCAGCAAAGAGAUUCUCAACCUGAGCAAGAAAGGCGGCUGCGGAGGCCCAGGAGUGUGUGCAUGCUGGCAGGCCCAGGUCCAGUCCAGUUGGAACCCCGGACCCAGCACCCCUUCAAAAGGGCAGGUGUUUCAGAGAACAACCAGCAGAACAGGAACAGGAAGGCUGAGUUGAGGGCUGUGGAUGGCCUCAAUGCUGUUGCAUCUCAGAGGCCUUCAUCCCCCACAGAGGUGACCCCCAGGCUCCGCCAGAGGAGCUGGAGGCCCAGGCCUGUCAGUAUGACAGUACUGGAGCUCAGAAAGAGGGGCUCUGAUGAUGAGAUAGACAGCCAGAAGAGCUGCAGCCACAUAGGCAGCGAUGGAGGAGGCUUGCUCAAAGGGGGCUUCCGUUGGAGGCUGUUUGGCAAAUCAUCUCAAGAUAAGAGCAAGGAGAAAGAAGGUGACAAAGAUGCAAAAUCUUCUCCCAAAUCCAGUAAAUCUGACGCUCCAAAAAGUACACUUAGCUCCUUAAGACGGAGCCUCAGUCUGCGAAUCAGGAGGACUCGACCCCGGGACAAAGUUACUUUAGGGUCUGAAAGUGAGUUAAAGGACGACUCUCGGACUAAAAGUACAUCUGAGGACACAACAAUGCCUCCGCUGCCUUUCUCAUACCUCACUGGAAGAACUCUUCCAACUUCCAGUGAGCAGACUGGGGAUGGGGGGAUGCAGUACAUUCAGUACCACAGCAGGGGGAAGGUCAAGGUAAUGGAGGUACCCCUCUGUCCAACAAAACUGUCUUCCAAACCAGUUCAGGAAGAACCAAGCAUAUGGCAGCUCAUAGCCAACCGUUUCAGGAGGAAAGAGCAGCCAUGCAGUGGCAAAUGUGAAACCCAGCAGUCCCAGAGCAAAGACACAGACCAGUAUCCCCUGGCCGGGAAUAAUAAGUCACAGCCAGUCGCCAUAGAGACUCCGGCAGGCAUUGACUCCCACAAAGGUCAAGACUCUUUCGUCAACAGCCAGGAAUGGACAUUGAGUCGGUCAGUGCCAGAGCUGAAAGUGGGCAUUGUGGGGAAUCUGUCCAGUGGGAAGUCUGCUUUGGUCCACCGGUACUUGACAGGCACAUAUGUGCAGGAGGAGUCUCCUGAAGGUGGACGGUUUAAGAAAGAAAUAGUGGUGGAUGGACAGAGCUACCUACUUCUGAUCAGAGAUGAAGGAGGACCUCCAGAAUCACAGUUCGCCACCUGGGUGGAUGCGGUGGUUUUCGUCUUUAGCCUGGAGGAUGAGAUCAGCUUCCAGACAGUCUACAAUUACUUCUUGCGCCUAUCCAACUACAGGAACACAGCUGAGGUCCCCAUGGUCCUCGUUGGAACACAAGAUGCAAUCAGUGCUGCCAACCCCAGAGUGAUCGACGACUCACGGGCCAGAAAGUUGUCAAACGACCUGAAGCGCUGCACGUAUUAUGAGACCUGCUCCACCUAUGGCCUCAAUGUGGAGAGAGUCUUCCAGGACGUUGCCCAGAAGGUUGUGGCCAUGAGGAAAAAGCAGCAGCUCUCUAUUGGUCCAUGCAAAUCUCUCCCCAAUUCUCCCAGCCACUCAUCAGUCCCCGCCGCAUCCAUCCCCUCUGUUCACAUUAACCAGGCGGCCAAUGGUGGGGGUGCAUUCAGCGACUACUCCUCCUCUGUUCCCUCCACCCCCAGCAUAAGUCAGCGGGAGAUGCGCAUUGAGACCAUCGCUGCCUCCAACACGCCCACGCCCAUCCGCAAGCAGUCAAAGCGCCGCUCCAACAUUUUCACAUCACGGAAAGCCAGUGAACAAGCAAAGAGCGUUGACAGUAAAACAGACAGCAUAGGCAGUGGGAGGGCCAUACCUAUCAAACAGGGAAUCCUUCUGAAGCGAAGUGGCAAAUCCCUCAACAAGGAGUGGAAAAAGAAAUAUGUCACACUGUGUGAUAACGGCGUCCUUACUUACCACCCCAGUUUACAUGACUACAUGCAGAAUGUGCAUGGGAAAGAGAUAGACUUGCUGAGGACGACAGUGAAGGUUCCCGGGAAGCGGCCACCCAGAGCGGUGGCCACCGUCGCCCCCACUGCUAGUCCCAAAACCAACGGGCUGACCAAGGACCGCAGCACCUUGCAGCUGGGCAUAGGAAACACAGGUGCUCCUCACUCCAACAGUAGCUCAUCCCUGCAGACGGGCGCGUCGUUGUUCAGCGGCAGCAAAGACAGCAUGCACCAGCGCUCCUUCUCCGUGUCCAGCGCCGACCAGUGGAAUGAAGCCAUCAACACCAGUACGAGCAGCGGAGCCCCCAAUGGAAUGAGUGAUCCUGCCAGUUCCAGUGUGGGCAGCGCCACGAGUCCUAAACUUGAGCCACCUCCUUCGCCACACGCCAACCGGAAGAAACACAGACGGAAAAAGAGCACGGGCAUCACCAAGCCAGACGGCUUAUCAGCAGGCAAUGAAGAGCAAGAGGACUCCUUUGAGUUCAUCAUUGUGUCGUUGACGGGUCAAACAUGGAACUUCGAAGCGUCCACAUAUGAGGAGAGGGAACUGUGGGUCCAAGCAAUUGAGAGCCAGAUCUUUGCCAGCCUGCAGUCCUGUGAGAGCAUAAAGAACAAGUCUCGGUUAGGCAGCCAAAGUGAUGCAAUGGCCAUUCAGUCCAUAAGAAAUGUGAGGGGGAACAGCUUCUGUGUGGACUGUGAUGCACCCAACCCAGACUGGGCUAGUCUGAACCUCGGCGCCUUGAUGUGCAUCGAGUGCUCUGGGAUCCACAGAAACUUGGGCACCCACUUGUCUCGCGUCCGCUCCCUCGACCUGGACGACUGGCCGGUGGAGCUCAGCAUGGUGAUGACGGCCAUCGGUAACACGAUGGCCAACAGUGUGUGGGAGGGCGCUUUGGAGGGCUACACCAAGCCAGGGAGCGACAGCAGCAGGGAGGAGAAGGAGCGCUGGAUCCGAGCCAAGUACGAGCAGAAGAUGUUCCUGGUGGGACUGCCCCAGUCGGACGUGCCCCUGGGGCAGCAGCUGCUUCGGGCGGUGGUGGAGGAUGACCUGAGGUUGGUGGUGCUGCUGCUGGCCCACGGCACCAAGGAGGAGGUUAACGAGACCUACGGGGACGGAGACGGACGCACCGCUCUGCACCUCUCCUGCGCAAUGGCCAACGUGGUCAUCACACAGCUGCUCAUCUGGUACGGUGUGGACGUGAAGAGUCGGGACGCUCGUGGUCAGACCCCGCUGUCCUACGCCCGGCGGGCCGGCAGCCAGGAGUGCGCUGAUAUCUUAGUUCAGCACGGUUGCCCCAACGACACAAGCAGCCUGACGUCCGUGCCCACACCCAACAUGAGCCGCCGCAACCCCAAUCCCAACAUCAACAACAACAACGCCCAGUGUGAGCUGAACCGCAGCAUCAGCAUCAUGUAGGAGCCGGAGAGCAGCCGCAGACAAACACACCAACAACCCCAUACCUGCUCCUGUCUCUUCCCAGUACUUCCACCUCUGUUUCACACUGUGUAACCCAGAAUCAGUACCAAUGGAGAGAUAUCAGGAGCCAUGGACUCAUUGUUUAUACUUCACUAUGCCGAAAGAUGUGGGCGUUUGGGGUUCGGACAUUGUACAUUGUUUGUUUUAUAUUAUUAUUUUUUAUUUGUUGAAUUCAUUCAGUCUUGGUCUGAAAUGAUCACGAUCAGCUUUAAGCUUUUUGUUUUUUAAGCACCAACCAAACAAAUGACUUACUUUGGCAUUCAUACCUUCCCUACGAAAAGCAUUUCCUUAAUGCUUGAACAUUUCCUUUUAUGUCUUCCCCUUCUGCGACGUGAACUGAUUUUAUAAUGAGCUUGAAAUGAGAAACUUCCUUCAAAUUUCCAACCUUAAGCAUAAUAUCAUAAAACUGUGAGGAAUAGUUUUACAAGUGACAAGAAAACACUGAUGUGGGAAAAGAAACUAAAUCUUCCAUGAUCUCGAUGGCUGUUACAGCUUUUAGUAAUGAUGCAUGUCUUCAACACAGCUAUCAAACUCUUGACAUACUAUUCAUAUACAAAGGCAAAGCAAUUAUAGUUGAAGAGUCCAAAUGAUUUAGAUACUUAAUUCACAGGAAAAUGGGUUCGGAUCAUCAUAAAGGAGUUGAUUGCAGAAUUCCUAUUGGGUGAAAGUGAGUCAUUUCCUCUGCCACCCUUAUCGUGAUCCUCCAGUAAAAGUGUCCGUGACUACAAAGGAAUUAAGGGGCAUGAUGUUUUAUGACCAUCGAGCCACAUGGCUUUGUAAGCGUGCCUCUUCAAUCAGAAUUCAUUCAAAUUCAAAGGUUUGAUUGAAACAGUGAAAUCGUACCAUUAAUGGCGUCUUUGUUGGAGUAAUUCUCCGACUGACUAGAUCGUGUUGAUAAUUGUUUGACAUAGAUACCGGAGCAUCCAUUCGCCUCCUGUGGCCCAAGGCUGUAGUAAUUGGUACUCUCGAGAGCAUUUCCUCCAUUUGUUGCUGUGAAAUACAUAUGUGGUACUGUGUGUGUGCAUCCGUACAUUAACUGUACAACACGUGUGCUUAUGUCUUCGUCCGUGACCGUGUGCAGCAAAGAGCGACUGGGCAUUUCUGUUCAUAAACAUGGGAGAGAGGACACUGGAGACAGUGAAGAUUUGGGAACAUAACUGUGUUCUGAUGUACAGAUCGCUGUAAAAAGUAGUUCUUGUUCCUUCACCUUAUUCCUUAUAAGAACAGUUUGAACUUUGACUUUUAGAGUUAAAUUAAAAAAAAAUCAUUUUCCUUAAGUGUCAGCCUAAAAGCAGGGAGUUAACACAUAAUGCGUUGAAGUGACUGAAGCGAGACAUCUAGGUAUAAAGUGAGCAAGGAGAUUCCUAGAGGGACGUAUAAUUAGUUUGGCUCUCUUUGCAUUAAUACAAAUGUACAGUAUUCCACUGACAUGAUAAGCCAGUUCAUUUAUAGUAAAGGUAAGAGAUGAAUUCAGGUGGAGUUGGCACAAUGUCUACCGUGUACUUUCCCUUUUAUUCAACUGCCAUUUUUAAGGUUUUAAACCGUCUUGAUUUUAUGGGUUUACAGAGGCAGGAUGUGUAUGUUUACAGAGCAAGUUAUUAACUUUUUGUACGAUCUUAUCUUCAGGAUUCUGUUGUUGCUUUACAGUAGUCCUGUUUGCAGAGCCCAUGGUGAAUGAAUAUGUGGUCCAAAGAGGAUGUUUGUAAAUGACCAUAGUGAUAUGAGGAGUAGUUUGACAUUUUUGGAAAUAUGCUUAUUCGCUGUCUUGAUCAGAGAAUUAAUGCCACUCUCAUGUCUGUGUGUUCUGUACGGAGCUGGAGACAGAGGGUGAUUAGCCUAGCUUAGCAAACACCGGAUUUGCACAUUGGAUUUUUCAUAUGCGUGUUCCACACAGAACCCUUGCACCUUUAUUUUUCUAUUCAUUGUCAAAAUUUGCAAUAUGGGGCAAAGACGCAUUUGCUCCCUUGCUUGUCUCCGCUGGAGUUACCUCUUCGCCAGUCUCUGCCUGCUUCUUGCAUUUGGCACCGCCGCUACCUGAGUUAUAAAGUGUUGCAGUGUGGCUAUUAAGUUGCACACUGCUGUAGGCGUCAUCAUCGCCGUUGUGCAUUUCUGAACAGGCCACGUUACUUUCUCUUUGUCAUUGAAGAUUUCAAGAAGAAAAUUACUUCCAAAUAUUUCGCCGAAUUUUUCUUGCUGGCCCCAUGGCCGCCUCUGACCUGUUACGCACUCUCGUUGUGGAUACUUAGUGUCCGCAGGUUACGCCACAUUUCUUCGCUGCUUCUUACUCUAGCAACUUUCUAAAGGCCUUUGACAGAUGCAAAAAAAAAAAUGUGGAAAAUCGAAACCUGUCCUGAAAACUUGAAUGAUGGACAAAAGUCUUGGAGUCGGUGUGUAAGGGCUCAUUUAUGCUCAACGUUAGAUAUGAAGACGGAGAUGGACGGAGCCGUUCGUCCGUAUUUGUGCAUGUUUUCUGAAAGCUUACAGACAUGCAGGAAACGGAGCAGUACCACCACAGAUUGUGGACGCAAUGUAGUGUAGUUCAAGAGAGGUACGACCAUAGGAGACGACCAAGAAAUUUGAAUAAUUGCAAAGCGGAACAAAUUGGUAAUAUAUUAUAAUAUUUAGUGAAAAGAAUGCUCUGUCCAUGUGUCGGGAUUUAUAAUGGCCGCACAGACCACCUCCAUCUACAGCCCUACCUCCAUACAAAGGUACAAUAUUACAACCUCCUCCACCAUCGCCUUAUUUGUUGUCGUGCAAAACUUUUGACUCCGCCCUCUAGUGCCAUUUAUUGGCUGCAUCAAUGCUUUCAUAAUGGACGCAGGCAUGGAGGACAGUGACGUUUGCAACCGACAUAACUAUUGUCAUAUGUAAAGGGAGCCUUAAAUGUGAUUGACACAACAUGAAGUCGUAUCUCUUUUUAAACGUGCAACAAUUUUGUAUGAAAAAUACGGACUUGGUGUCCAAAGGCUUAGCAUAACGUUUACACCACAUAGGCAGACUUUCAAACAUCGGAAGGAGCCGAGCUAACUGUGUCCCCCUGCUUCCAGUCUUUAUGCUAGCUAGCUAAGCAAAGCUAAGCGUCUCUUGGCUCUAGCUCCAGACUUAACGCACAAGCAUGAGAGUUAACCGACAGCUAUAAGUCUCAGCAAGAAAGCGAAUAAACACAUUGCCCAAAAUGUCAAGCUAUUUCUUCAAGACAUCCCAAAACCGACCACAAAUUCAAGCAGCUACCUUCAAAUUUACUCGUACUGUACAGUGGUACUGGCCUUAUUUCUGAUUUUUACUUGACCAACUUGUUUCCGUGAGUACAUUUCAGUGUCCGAGGGGAUUACUGUGGGGAGUUUAAUGUUUAUAGUGAUUACCCUGAUGAACCCUUAUUUACAUACUGUAGAUGAUAAAAAAAAAAACACUAGAAACCUGCCUGUUUUUCCCAGACACAACAUAUGAACAAGUGUACAUAUUAGCUUAAUGCUUUUAUCUGAAGACAAGCUCCUCCUAGAGAAACAAACUAAACUGGUUUUAGGUCAACGGUCCCCUUUGACCCAUGAACCAUAUUUUGAUAUGUUGUUUUUUGUUCCACCUUAGGCAUAUUUUUAAGGUACUUCUGUUUGGUCUCGACAUUAACCGACCAUCUUUGGUACUUGUGUAUAAUGAUGUACAUUUGACAUAUUUAUAAUGCAGUUUGUAAAUAUCUUUUUUUGUUUUGUUUUGUUUUUUGUUCAAGUUAAUUUUCCUAUUGUAAUUCCUCUUACGUUCAGAACGUGAAACAAAGCAAAAGCUAAAGAGUAACUUGUUGUAUGCUUGGAUGCUUGGCUGACUGUUGACCUAUUAAUAAACACUCAAAUAAAACGAAGUAGCCUUCCCUGCAU